UCAAGCUAAUAAGGGCUAACGGUGGAUACCUAGGCACACGGAAGCGAAGAAGGACGUAGUUACCGACGAAACGCUUCGGGGAGCGGGAAGCAAGCAUUGAUCCGAAGAUAUCCGAAUGGGGCAACCCUAAACACGACCACCUGAAUACAUAGGGUGGAGCGAGCAAACCUGGUGAACUGAAACAUCUUAGUAGCCAGAGGAAAAGAAAGCAACAGCGAUUCCCCCAGUAGCGGCGAGCGAAAAGGGAACAGCCUAAACCAAGUUCUGCGGAACUUGGGGUCGUGGGACAGUAACAAAAGACUGGGAAAUUUAGACGAAGCGGCUGAAAACCGCACCAGAGAGGGUGAAAGUCCUGUAGUCGAAAAAGGAACCAGCUUAACUGCAUCCCGAGUAGCAUGGGGCACGUGAAAUCCCGUGUGAAUCUGCCUCGACCACGAGGUAAGGCUAAAUAUUCCCGUGUGACCGAUAGAGAAACAGUACCGCGAGGGAAAGGUGAAAAGAACCCCGGAAGGGGAGUGAAAUAGAACAUGAAACCGUUAGCCUACAAGCAAUGGGAGGACGAUUGAACGUCUGACCGUGUGCCUGUUGAAGAAUGAGCCGGCGACUUACAGGUUAUGGCAGGUGAAGGGGGAAGACCCCACAGCCCCAGCGAAAGCGAGUCUGAAUAGGGCGAAACGUCAUAAUUUGUAGACCCGAACCCGGGUGAUCUAACCAUGGCCAGGAUGAAGCUUGGGUAAAACCAAGUGGAGGUCCGAACCGACUAAUGUUGAAAAAUUAGCGGAUGAGCUGUGGUUAGGGGUGAAAUGCCAAUCGAACUCGGAGCUAGCUGGUUCUCCCCGAAAUGUGUUGAGGCGCAGCGGUAGUGGAAGUUUAGUCGGGGUAAAGCACUGUUUCGCCGCGGGCUGGGAGACCGGUACCAAGGCGAGGCAAACUCUGAAUACGGCUAAAAAAACUACCAGUGAGACGGUGGGGGAUAAGCUUCAUCGUCAAGAGGGAAACAGCCCAGACCACCAGCUAAGGUCCCCAAAUGAUAACUAAGUGAGAAAGGAGGUGGGAGUGCAUUGACAACCAGGAGGUUUGCCUAGAAGCAGCAACCCUUAAAAGAGUGCGUAAUAGCUCACUGGUCAAGCGCUCCUGCGCCGAAAAUGAACGGGGCUAAGUUAUCUACCGAAGCUGUGGACUACAUUGUAGUGGUAGGGGAGCGUUCUAUAGGGGGUGAAGCAGUAGCGGCAAGCAGCUGUGGACUCUAUAGAAGUGAGAAUGUCGGCUUAAGUAGCGAAAAUGUGGGUGAGAAUCCCACACCCCGAAACCCCAAGGUUUCCUCCGCAAGGCUCGUCCGCGGAGGGUCAGUCAGGACCUAAGGCGAGGCUGAAAAGCGUAGUCGAUGGACAACGGGUUAACAUUCCCGUACCGAUUAAUGAUUGUGCCGGAGAACGGAGAAGGUCAACGUCAGCUGGAUGUUGGUUACCAGUGCAAGCAGUCGAGGCGAUGAGAGGUGGUGAAAACACCAGGAGCUAAGACGCGAGUCCCACCUCCCACGGGAGGGAAGUGGCGCUGAUCAAGCUUCCUAGAAAAGCCCGAACCACGUUAAUCAUUAAUUGCCUGUACCCGAAACCGACACAGGUGGGGAAGUAGAGAAUACUAAGGGGCGCGAGAUAACUCUCUCUAAGGAACUCGGCAAAAUGACCCCGUAACUUCGGGAGAAGGGGUACCCUCGCAAGAGGGUCGCAGUGAAUAGGCCCAGGCGACUGUUUACCAAAAACACAGGUCUCCGCCAAGUCGUAAGACGCAGUAUGGAGGCUGACGCCUGCCCAGUGCCGGAAGGUUAAGGAAGUUGGUCAGGAGUAAUCUGAAGCUGACGACCGAAGCCCCGGUGAACGGCGGCCGUAACUAUAACGGUCCUAAGGUAGCGAAAUUCCUUGUCGGGUAAGUUCCGACCCGCACGAAAGGCGUAACGAUCUGGGCACUGUCUCGGAGAGAGACUCGGCGAAAUAGGAUUGUCUGUGAAGAUACGGACUACCUGCACCUGGACAGAAAGACCCUAUGAAGCUUUACUGUAGCCUGGAAUUGGCUUCGGGCUUCGCUUGCGCAGGAUAGGUGGGAAGCUUUGAAACUCUCCUCGUGGGGAGAGUGGAGCUAACGGUGAGAUACCACUCUGGCGAGGCUAGAAUUCUAACCCUGACCCCUAAUCGGGGCGGGAGACAGUUUCAGGUGGGCAGUUUGACUGGGGCGGUCGCCUCCUAAAAGGUAACGGAGGCGCGCAAAGGUUCCCUCGGUCCCGUUGGAAAUGGGACGAUAGAGUGCAAAAGCAGAAGGGAGCUUGACUGUGAGACCCACAAGUCGAACAGGGACGAAAGUCGGCUUUAGUGAUCCGACGGCACCGCGUGGAAGGGCCGUCGCUCAACGGAUAAAAGUUACUCUAGGGAUAACAGGCUGAUCUCCCCCAAGAGUUCACAUCGACGGGGAGGUUUGGCACCUCGAUGUCGGCUCAUCGCAACCUGGGGCUGAAGUCGGUCCCAAGGGUUGGGCUGUUCGCCCAUUAAAGCGGUACGUGAGCUGGGUUCAGAACGUCGUGAGACAGUUCGGUCCAUAUCCGGUGUAGGCGUAAGAGCAUUGCGAGGAGCCUUCCUUAGUACGAGAGGACCGGGAAGGACGCACCGCUGGUGUACCUGUUAUCGUGCCAACGGUAAACGCAGGGUAGCCAUGUGCGGAGCGGAUAACCGCUGAAAGCAUCUAAGUGGGAAGCCCACCUCCAGAUGAUUGCUCUCAUGGCAUUAAGCCAGUAAGGUCUCGGGUAGACUACCCGUUGAUAGGCUCUAGAUGGAAGCUCGGUAACGAGUGCAGUCGAGGAGUACUAACCGACCGAGGGCUUGACCUG
This 2878-nucleotide ribosomal RNA is filed under the name Microcystis aeruginosa PCC 7005. Its description in RNAcentral is "bacterial LSU rRNA". It matches the Rfam family "Bacterial large subunit ribosomal RNA". The record is from RNAcentral. Lineage: Bacteria; Bacillati; Cyanobacteriota; Cyanophyceae; Chroococcales; Microcystaceae.